Cinara cedri is the source of this 227-nucleotide non-coding RNA. NCBI's taxonomy places the organism in Eukaryota, Metazoa, Arthropoda, Insecta, Hemiptera, Aphididae. The record is from the annotation of a GenBank genome assembly.
CUAUUGAGACUCGCGUUUACUAUUUAUAUUUACUCGGUACGUUUGAACAUUGCAUUUCGCAGUCUCAUUGGGUCCAGUAAAUAUGAGCUUCGCAAACAAAACACGUACGUCGAAUAUAGAGACCCCGUUGCUAAACAGCACACACGUUUGCGGCCCUCCGUGUCGGUCAUCUGCGUAUAAAUUGAAAAUAUAAAGAGUACACCAAGGCGGUCAUCAGUAUUUCCACU